CAGUCGCCGCGGUAAUACAGAGGGUGCGAGCGUUAAUCGGAUUUACUGGGCGUAAAGCGUGCGUAGGCGGCUUCUUAAGUCGGAUGUGAAAUCCCUGAGCUUAACUUGGGAAUUGCAUUCGAUACUGGUUAGCUAGAGUGUGGGAGAGGAUGGUAGAAUUCCAGGUGUAGCGGUGAAAUGCGUAGAGAUCUGGAGGAAUACCGAUGGCGAAGGCAGCCAUCUGGCCUAACACUGACGCUGAGGUACGAAAGCAUGGGGAGCAAACAGGAUUAGAUACCCCGGUAGUCCCUGUCUCUUAUAC
This 301-nucleotide ribosomal RNA is filed under the name uncultured bacterium. RNAcentral's name for it is "partial 16S ribosomal RNA". It matches the Rfam family "Bacterial small subunit ribosomal RNA", at positions 509 to 807 of the family's 1533-position model. The record is from RNAcentral.